CAUGGGUGAUAAGGUCCGUGUUCGAAAGGGAAACAGCCCAGACCACCAGCUAAGGUCCCAAAAUAUAUGUUAAGUGGAAAAGGAUGUGGCGUUGCCCAGACAACUAGGAUGUUGGCUUAGAAGCAGCCAUCAUUUAAAGAGUGCGUAAUAGCUCACUAGUCGAGUGACACUGCGCCGAAAAUGUACCGGGGCUAAACAUAUUACCGAAGCUGUGGAUUGUCCUUUGGACAAUGGUAGGAGAGCGUUCUAAGGGCGUUGAAGCAUGAUCGUAAGAACAUGUGGAGCGCUUAGAAGUGAGAAUGCCGGUGUGAGUAGCGAAAGACGGGUGAGAAUCCCGUCCACCGAUUGACUAAGGUUUCCAGAGGAAGGCUCGUCCGCUCUGGGUUAGUCGGGUCCUAAGCUGAGGCCGACAGGCGUAGGCGAUGGAUAACAGGUUGAUAUUCCUGUACCACCUAUAAUCGUUUUAAUCGAUGGGGGGACGCAGUAGGAUAGGCGAAGCGUGCGAUUGGAUUGCACGUCUAAGCAGUAAGGCUGAGUAUUAGGCAAAUCCGGUACUCGUUAAGGCUGAGCUGUGAUGGGGAGAAGACAUUGUGUCUUCGAGUCGUUGAUUUCACACUGCCGAGAAAAGCCUCUAGAUAGAAAAUAGGUGCCCGUACCGCAAACCGACACAGGUAGUCAAGAUGAGAAUUCUAAGGUGAGCGAGCGAACUCUCGUUAAGGAACUCGGCAAAAUGACCCCGUAACUUCGGGAGAAGGGGUGCUCUUUAGGGUUAACGCCCAGAAGAGCCGCAGUGAAUAGGCCCAAGCGACUGUUUAUCAAAAACACAGGUCUCUGCUAAACCGUAAGGUGAUGUAUAGGGGCUGACGCCUGCCCGGUGCUGGAAGGUUAAGAGGAGUGGUUAGCUUCUGCGAAGCUACGAAUCGAAGCCCCAGUAAACGGCGGCCGUAACUAUAACGGUCCUAAGGUAGCGAAAUUCCUUGUCGGGUAAGUUCCGACCCGCACGAAAGGCGUAACGAUUUGGGCACUGUCUCAA
This 1033-nucleotide ribosomal RNA is filed under the name Staphylococcus aureus. Its description in RNAcentral is "partial 23S ribosomal RNA". It matches the Rfam family "Bacterial large subunit ribosomal RNA", at positions 990 to 2024 of the family's 2925-position model. Lineage: Bacteria; Bacillati; Bacillota; Bacilli; Caryophanales; Staphylococcaceae. The record is from RNAcentral.